Non-coding RNA from Pelobates cultripes (western spadefoot toad), 242 nucleotides. The record is from the annotation of a GenBank genome assembly. Lineage: Eukaryota; Metazoa; Chordata; Amphibia; Anura; Pelobatidae.
AACAAACUCUCCUCUUCCUCUAUUACAGGGGUUCCCAAUUAAUUUUUUUGUGGAACCCUUUGACAUAGUAUACCAACAUUAUGGAACACUUUGACAUAGUAUACCAACAUCAUGGAACCCUUUGACAUAGUAUACCAACAUCAUGGAACCCUUUGACAUAGUAUACCAACAUCAUGGAACCCUUUGACAUAGUAUACCGACAUCAUGGAACCCUUUGACAUAGUAUACCAACAUUAUGAAAC